This 1288-nucleotide long non-coding RNA is filed under the name Homo sapiens (human). RNAcentral's name for it is "HSALNT0340409". Lineage: Eukaryota; Metazoa; Chordata; Mammalia; Primates; Hominidae. The record is from RNAcentral.
AAAUAUUUGCAAAGUGAAUCUUCUCAGAAACUUUGAAUCUUUUUCUGAUGCUAAAGAGUUCUACAACACGGAAAUCCAUCAUUUCAUUAUGAGUUUCUGUUCAUGGUACUGACCUAAGGGCCAAGAUACAAAGUCAAGUGAGAGACAGAGCAUAUCCUCAAGGAGCAGAUUGUCUAACGGGGAAGAGAGGCGGAGGUUGCAGUGAGCCGAGAUCACGCCAUUGCGCCCCAGCCUGCGUGACAGAGUGAGACUCCGCCUCCAAAAAAAGAAAAAAAAAUAAGUGACUUACAGAUUGCCAAAUCUGGCUUGAAACUCACCCAUGUUGUAUGCCACCACAGAGUUUGAAUAUGUACAAGGGCAUCUCCAGUCAUUGUACUUGGGAGGAGGAGAUGAAGGCACCAUUUCCCUCUUUAUCUGCAAUUGAGUAGUUACUGAGAGAGUUGUUUACAGAGCUCUUUAUUCAUUCAUUCAGAUAUUAUUCAUUGUUAAAAAUACAUAAUUUGAUAUGUAAAUUAUAUCUUAAUAAAAUUGUUUUUUAAAAGCCAUUUGUAGUAUACUUUAAUGUCUUUUCCCCUAGGCCAGCAUAGUUUGGCACAUAAAGCCUUCUUGACUGAGUUGACUGUGUGGCCUGUUUGGGUCUCUCUGCAGUGUUUACCAGCUCUUCUGGCAUACGUCCCAGAAUGACAAUCCUUUUUCCUUUCAGAUUAUGACACUGGAUGUGAACUCAAAUCCCCUUAACUCAGAAACUUACUGUUCAAACCUCCAGAAAAACGCUGGACAAAAUCCUCAUCAAUAAAAACAGAAUAAUUGAAUGUGAUGCUUGGAAAUGUUCCCAGCAAUGUCCUUAACCUUGGAAAAAAAAAUCCCUAGUCUAUAAUGUUUCUACUCACUUAUCCACGGAAAUAGAAUUGAAGGGUAAAUCAGAACAAGCAGAAGUCCUAUUAGUGUGGAGGUUCUGGAGAAGAGGUUGCCUGGUUACUUUUUUCAGCGGAGAAGUUAGAAAAGAACACCACAACAUGAGGGGGAACAUAGUCCUCCUUUCAAAAAGUUUAUCUCUAAAAGAUUAAAAACAAAAACAAAAACAAACCAAAGCGUAACAUCAUAACCUGGAGCAAUCAGGUUUAUUUAAAUAUAUAAAUAUGAUACAAAUGUCUAAAUAUGGAGCAGAUUUUUCUUGGUUAAAAAAACGAGGUUCUGGCUGGGCACGGUGGCUGACACCUGUAAUCCCAGCACUUUGGGAGGCCAAGGCAGGUGGAUUGCUUGAGCUCAGAAGUUUGAGAUCAGCCUG